Molecule: long non-coding RNA, 1359 nt
Organism: Erpetoichthys calabaricus (reedfish)
Lineage: Eukaryota; Metazoa; Chordata; Cladistia; Polypteriformes; Polypteridae
Exons: 2
Source: RefSeq, a predicted model, not a curated record
CGUGUCGAGCGUGCGGUCGUCCAGGAGAGAGCGCAUCUUUGUACAGAGUAUGCCAGCCGCUGAGAAAGCACGCUCUGCCUCCACUGAAGUAUACGGCACAGUCAUCAGAUACUGAUACACUUGUUCUAAACAACGCCCGCACUUGCUGUUGCUCUGAAACACCACCAUUUCAGCUUUUACUGAUGCAUCCAGUUUCUUGUCAUCAUUCUGUGAUGACAAGUUUCUUAGCACAGAUAAUGCGGAUGCAACAGACUGACGCAUUGCAAUUUCAAGUUGCUGUUCAAAGCUGUCAACGGCACAGACGUCGAUGAACUCUGCCCCGUCUCGGCAUUCGUGAGCUGCAGAGUGCAGACUUCUCCCAGUCCACUGUGCUCAGUCAGCCGGAAGACUGACUGCUGCUGGGCUUGUGUUCACUGAAUUAAUCAGCAACACACUACACCGUGGGCCAAAAAACCGUGCCACUUAAUUAUUUUCAACUAUGACUCUGUUAUUUCUUGAUCGAUUUUUACACUUUUACAUGCUAUAUAUGCGAGCUUGGCCAUUCCCGUUUUCCUGGGAAUUACAGCAGUUUCAUUCCCGGGAAUGAAAAAUGUCCGGGAAUCCCGGGAAUGGAUUCCCUAGGCAUUAUCUUGUGCAACAUUUAAUAUCGAAACCUGCACUAACGAAAAUUAAAGCAAAAAAAAUACGAGCAGAGUUUUUUUUUUUUUUUACAUUUUUGACAUUUAUGAAAUAAAUAUGUAAAUUCAAAAUAACUUCAAAUAGUCCAAGCUGUACUGUCUGCAUUUCCUUUUUGGUUCAGUCAUAUUAUUAUCUGAAGAAAUAAACUUUUAUUAACAAACAAUUUCGACAGCCCCUGUGUUUUAAAAAAAACAAUAAAGUAUGUACUUACUUGAAACAGAAGAUUUUUGUUCAAACUCGAAUAAAUAAACUGUGUCCUGAUUUUCUUUUUCGUAGUACUGCUCCUCAAUAAAUAAUUAUAUUCAAAGUUCAAAUCACAAAUAAGUACUCUGUACAUGUCACAUCAAAUGAACCAAUUUAUAGUGUUUUAUGAAAGCAUGACCGUACAAGACUGAUAGAUUCUGCUAAUAUCGAAUAUCGUCUUGUCCCACCGCGAGCAAGUGCGGGCAUGCAACGUUUUUUCAUGUCCACACUUGCUUUGAUACGUUCAAUAAGACAAUGCACAGACAUGUUUGUGCUACAUGUAUUUUCAUGCAUUCUUACGUGUGACUCUCUUAAUGACACAUUUUACCUUUUCGUUCGCAAGUUUGGUAUGUAAUGUGUUUUUUUUAUCAAAAAAGUGUUUGUUUUUUUUUUUAAUUAUUUUACUUCUUAAUUAGGUACCUAUUGGAAUCAUAGAUA